AAGUCGUAACAAGGUUUCCGUAGGUGAACCUGCGGAAGGAUCAUUAUCGAGUUUUGACCGGGUUGUAGCUGGCCUUCCGAGGCAUGUGCACGCCCUGCUCAUCCACUCUACACCUGUGCACUUACUGUGGGCUUCAGAUCGCGAGGCAGGCUCUUUACCGGGCUUGCGGAGCGCAUCUGUGCCUGCGUUUAUCACAAACUCUAUAAAGUAACGGAAUGUGUAUUGCGAUGUAACGCAUCUAUAUACAACUUUCAGCAACGGAUCUCUUGGCUCUC
Molecule: unclassified non-coding RNA, 275 nt
Filed under: Ganoderma lucidum
Lineage: Eukaryota; Fungi; Basidiomycota; Agaricomycetes; Polyporales; Polyporaceae
Description: partial internal transcribed spacer region
Rfam family: Eukaryotic small subunit ribosomal RNA (bases 1-46)
Source: RNAcentral